UUAAAUUGAAGAGUUUGAUCAUGGCUCAGAUUGAACGCUGGCGGCAGGCCUAACACAUGCAAGUCGAACGGCAGCACAGAAGAGCUUGCUCUUUGGGUGGCGAGUGGCGGACGGGUGAGUAAUGUCU
RNAcentral lists this ribosomal RNA (127 nucleotides) under Pantoea dispersa. RNAcentral describes it as "partial 16S ribosomal RNA". It matches the Rfam family "Bacterial small subunit ribosomal RNA", at positions 1 to 118 of the family's 1533-position model. Lineage: Bacteria; Pseudomonadati; Pseudomonadota; Gammaproteobacteria; Enterobacterales; Erwiniaceae. The record is from RNAcentral. RNAcentral also lists the same sequence under 2 other names.